UACUGGCUUGAGAUUCAAAAUAAAAUAAACCAAAAAUUUUAGAAAUUAUAUUAGUCUAGAAAGAUAGUAUUGUGUCUCUUUGUCUUUUUAGUACCUAGCACAUAUCAGGUACUUGAUACAUAUUUAUCAUAUGAAUGCAAUGGUUGUAAUGAACAACUGGGAAGGAAAUGCAAAAGCAGAAGGCACCAUAUUUGUGUUGCUAUUCCUGGGUGUCAUUUCUAUGUAACUUGUGAUAACCAGUAGUAAAGAACAACAUGGACUAUGUUUAAUAGACAACAACUAAUUUUAUUGGAUUUGUGUACAUAAUCUGAAAUUUAGUCUAAGGACAAGCCAUAUUACUAUAAAUUCCAGGAAAUCUAGAGAGAAAAAAUGGGCAAUUUAGAACAGACUAGAAGAGUAACUCUUUCAGUUUGUCUGGAAAACCGAAUCUAAGGAAUAAGGUCAGUUUGCAGUUUCUUUCAAGUAGAAUUGGUGACUCUUGGAUGCAGUUUAUAAACACGUAACACAUUUUCCUUGCAUGGAAAUAUAUCUAUUCUAUGACCUCUUCUACAUGAAGAAAAGAUUUGAAAUUUUCUUCUCCAUUAAAUAAUGUUUUGUGUGCAUGUUGCAAAAAUAAGAGAGAAGCAAGAAUAACUCUAGCAGAUGCUUAAAGGUUUAAGAUUAAAGACACAUGUAAAUGUGAUUCAUAGUGGGUGUUCUGUGCACUUGAGUGAAUAUUCCCAAAUCACAGCUAGAAAAAUUUAGGAGUAAAUUGACUUAACUUAUGGUAAAUCAAUAGGGGUCCCUGAAUUGGAGGGAAACAGAUGAGCAAGAAAAAAAUUAUUUGACAGGACUCCACUAAGGAAAACAACAUUCAAGUAACAGAUGAGGUAUUCUACUGCCCAGAGGAAUUACCCAGCCUUUAGCAAGGCGAAGUCAGCCUCAACUGGCAGGAGGUUUGUUUUAAAACUGAAAUGAGAAAAAGGAUCUGGGCUUACAAAUGAUGGGAAGAUAUAUUAUCAACAGGGAAAAAAACCCCCAGAAAAUAGCAACUAACUUGUUUCCCCAGCACAACUGAAAGGAUGAAGAAGGAAAACAAUUUAAUGUACCCUGGUCAUGCAGUUACUUUCCUUUAUCCUUACUAACAGUGCUUGUCAAGAUGGUUCUGGAAACUGAAUAAAUUGUUAUUAACUAAAUUCUAAAAGCUUCAUAUAAUCAUCUGAUACAUACAUCACAUCAAUUUCAGCCUAGGCUCUCUAUGGUGGCAAAUUAUUUCAGCACUAAAUCAUGAAGGCUGGAUUCUUGAAGCCUGGCAGAGGCAAAUGUCUCAUUAAUGCUGAUCUGAGAGACAUCUGUGAUGAGCCUGAACAUCAGGCCAAUCUGCAGAGCUGAUCAGGGGCUGCUGAGUGGUUCUGAAGUGAGUCAGGCUGUGAAUGAAGACUCCACCAGAAUGAGGAGAAUUCCAUGCAUGGAGAUUCAAAUAAAGACAAAAGGGAGAUGCAACUAUGGAGGCUGAGAAGUCCCACCAUCGGAGCGCCUCUGCCCCGCCGCCCCAUCUGGGAUGUGAGGAGCGCCUCUGCCCGGCCGAGACCCCGUCUGGGAGGUGAGGAGCGUCUCUGCCCGGCCGCCCCGUCUGAGAAGUGAGGAGACCCUCUGCCUGGCAACCACCCCGUCUGAGAAGUGAGGAGCCCCUCCGCCCGGCAGCUGCCCCGUCUGAGAAGUGAGGAGCCUCUCCGCCCGGCAGCCACCCCAUCUGGGAAGUGAGGAGCGUCUCCGCCCGGCAGCCACCCCGUCCGGGAGGGAGGUGGGGGGGGGUCAGCCCCCC
This 1804-nucleotide long non-coding RNA is filed under the name Homo sapiens (human). RNAcentral describes it as "HSALNT0376719". The record is from RNAcentral. Lineage: Eukaryota; Metazoa; Chordata; Mammalia; Primates; Hominidae.